Molecule: ribosomal RNA, 230 nt
Filed under: uncultured bacterium
Lineage: Bacteria
Description: partial 16S ribosomal RNA
Rfam family: Bacterial small subunit ribosomal RNA
Source: RNAcentral
UGAGGAACAUGACCUUCGGCGGGGGAUAGCCGGCCCAACGGCCGGGUAAUACCGCGUACGACCACAUGGGGACAUCCCUGAGUGGUGAAAGCAGCAAUGCGCCGAUGGAGUGCCUCGCGGCCUAUCAGCUAGUUGGUGAGGUAACGGCUCACCAAGGCGACGACGGGUAGCUGGUCUGAGAGGAUGGCCAGCCACAUUGGGACUGAGACGCGGCCCAGACUNUACGGGAG